Drosophila subpulchrella is the source of this 2117-nucleotide long non-coding RNA. RefSeq lists it as uncharacterized. The record is from RefSeq and is a predicted model, not a curated record. NCBI's taxonomy places the organism in Eukaryota, Metazoa, Arthropoda, Insecta, Diptera, Drosophilidae. The transcript is spliced from 3 exons.
GAUCAGUCGAUUCGCUCGCCGUCUUGGGAAACCAUAAUUUCCGACAGCUUUUCACAACUGUCACUGCAUUUGCCCACAUAUAUGGUAUGUUUCUUUUCGGUUUCCCAAAAGUGUGUGCCAUGCGAAAAAUAUAAUUGUCAGGAAAAUAUGUAUUACCCAAAUUCGAGGGCCAUCCAUUGGUUUUCCAGAGCUCUGGAGCCGCUCACGACUGUUUGGCUUGGAGACGAGUUUCCGACUGAUUUUCCCAGAUGCUGGCACCGAGAAUGUAAACCCAUGACCAGGCUCGAAUUUGAAGCGCCCGACGUCGACUGAGGCAGCGGCCGAGGCAGAGGCAGCAACAGAGGCAGAGGCUGUGGCAGAGGCAGAGAUCUGGCCGAGCGUCGGCGGCUAUAUACUAUAUAGCGUAGGCCAUAUAGUCGUAUAUAGAGCGGUAAUCUGUGUGCAAGAUCUGAGGCGAUUCGUCGUCUAUAGGAAUGCGUCGAUGGCGAUUGUUGUUCAUGCAAGUGUCUGGUCUGGUCUGGCACAAAUAGAGGGAAGACGGCGACAAUUACAGCAGAGCGCUGGGUUUCCUGAUUCACCAUUGCAAAAAGUACUAUAUCUAUGGUUCUAUUGUUUUGAGGUGCUGGGUCCAAACGCCUUUACAAAUAUCUGACUUACAAACAAAAAACCUAGGGCAUUUACUAUCUUAGGACUGAAAAACCUCUUAAAUUUUAUAAAGCUCAUCAAGGUGUCUAAAAGUAUGCAACAAUGAAUUCGGAAUAUGUGCAGAAACACCAAGUUCUAUUUUUCACAGCAUAUUUUUAGAGAUUUCAAAACCCCAGUGGGGUUUCAUAGUUGUAAUAGUUUCGAAUAGAAUUGUAUUUAAAAUUGUUAGACUAUUUAGCAAUUAGGUUUACUUAUUUAAAUCCCAAAAUGAUGCUUUGAAUUUAUCAAAUAAUAUAGUAAAGAAUAUUCAACUUGCCAAUGUUAAAUAAUAAUCUUGCUGAAAUCUAUAAAUAUCCCAUCUUUUCAAUAGCUUUGACUAAGUUCUACACUUUAUUUAACCCAUUUUAGCAACUUUUAUUUCAUAACUUCAUAAAUUAAGCCUCCUCCAUCUUAUCCAAACCGAAAAUCCACACCAUCCCCAUGUCGACCAUCUGUGAUAACCGCAAUGGGACAAUGCGAAGACCCCAAGUGGAUCAAUUAAAAUGCAACUACCUCCGCUUUCAAUGCCAAAAUGCCAUUUCCCUUUCAAAUGCCUUAUGCCUUCCGUCCCGUUCGACUGUCCGUUGCACUGGUGUCGCUUAAGUCAUCAAAGUCCGGCCAGAUAAAGUGCCCCCGAAUCAGAUCGAAUUGAAUGCCAGGCGGGACAAAGGGACCGCAUUUCCAAGGGCCCGGACGCUGGGCAUGCACAUGGCCAGCUCAACUUGGUUGGGGUUUAUCUGGAUUUUGCGUUUCUGUUGCCAUAGCGCCACACCCACCCACCGCAAACGGAAUGGAAAUGAAAAUCGGAAUGCUUAUGGUAAUGGGAGUGGGAGUGGGAGUGGGAGUGGGUGCGGUGGGUCCCAUUGAUGACGCUGAAGACUUUCAUUCACAAAACUGCAGGAUUUUCAAGGCAGGCACAGAACGGAGCGGCAAACGUCAGCAGUGAAUGGAAAAGCCCCUCCCACGCCCCUGUGAAAAUGUGGAAAAUUGUGCAGCCCCCGCUGAAUGUCCUUCGUGGCGGAUGUGGGUGCGGAUGAUGCGGAUGGAAAGGCGGUACGGCGGAGGUUCCUAGGCUAAUGAAGACCAAUGACGUCCGACGUGCCAUGCAGGCACUGGGAAAAAUUCCUAAAUCGUUUUUGGAAUCAAAAUGGGGAAAAUUAUCUUUGAUGUGUAUUUACUUAUGAUUUUUAUAAGUUAGAUAAAGUAUAUGUUUAGAGAUUGACAAAAAUAUAUUAACCCAAUAUUUCUCAUGACUAGGCAGUGAACCCCUACCCUUCUUACCUACUUAUUGUAUUAAAGAGUACUAUUUAAUGGUAGUUUAACUAUUAAAUAGUAACCAAAGCAACUUAAAAAUACAAGCCACUAUUAUUAAUAGUUAUUAACCUUUUUUUUUAGAGUUAUAUAAUACAAUAAAAUUUUUUUGUCUGUACCUA